UUUCUUGCUCCUCCUUCCGGUUGCUACCCUCUGCUCUUAAGUGAGUGGGGGGGUCAGCUCCGGAUCAUUUACUUUGAAAAAAUUAGAGUGUUUAAAGCAGGCAUUUAUCGUGCGGUUGGAUAUAUUAGCAUGGGAUAAUAGAAUAGGAGUUCUCACCCUAUUUUGUUGGUUUUGAGGCGAGAACUAAUGAUUAAUAGAGAUAGUUGGGGGUAUUCAUAUUUAAUUGUCAGAGGUGAAAUUCUUGGAUUAAUUAAAGAUGAACUUCUGCGAAAGCAUCUACCAAGGAUGUUUUCAUUGAUCAAGAACGAAAGUUAGGGGAUCGAAGACGAUCAGAUACCGUCGUAGUCUUAACAGUAAACAAUGCCGACCAGGGAUUGGGAGACGUUACAUGGAUGACUCCCCCAGCACCUUGCGAGAAAUCAUAAGUUUUUGGGUUCCGGGGGGAGUAUGGUCGCAAGGCUGAAACUUAAAGGAAUUGACGGAAGGGCACCACCAGGAGUGGAGCCUGCGGCUUAAUUUGACCCAACACGGGAAAACUUACCAAGUCCAGACAUAAGAAGGAUCACAGAUUGAGAGCUCUUUCUUGAUUCUAUGGGUGGUGGUGCAUGGCCGUUCUUAGUUGGUGGAGUGAUUUGUCUUGUUAAUUCCGUUAACGAACGAGACCUCAGCCUGCUAACUAGUUACGCUGGUCGUCUACUCGAGUGAACUGCCUGUAGCGGCAGGGUUUACUCCUUGUCGCAUCGGGUGGGGAUCUUUGAUGUGCCGGUGGAAAUACUUCUUAGAGGGACUAUUUGUAUCUAGCAAAUGGAAGUUUGAGGCAAUAACAGGUCUGUGAUGCCCUUAGAUGUUUUGGGAUGCACGCGCGCUACAAUGAUGAAGUCAACGAGUCUAACACCUUGGCCGGAAGGUCUGGGUAAUCUUUUGAAAUUUCAUCGUAAUGGGGAUUGAUCUUUGUAAUUAUCGAUCAUUAACGAGGAAUUCCUAGUAAGCGUGGUUCAUCAAACCACGUUGAUUUCGUCCCUGCCCUUUGUACACACCGCCCGUCGCUCCUACCGAUUGAAUGAUCCGGUGAAAUCUCCGGAUUGGGGGGUCCAACUGUCGGGGCAACUCGGCAGUAACUCACCGAGAAGCUGAUUAAACCUUAUCAUUUAGAGGAAGGAGAAGUCGUAACAAGGUUUCCGUAGGUGAACCUGCGGAAG
This 1199-nucleotide ribosomal RNA is filed under the name metagenome. RNAcentral's name for it is "SSU rRNA". It matches the Rfam family "Eukaryotic small subunit ribosomal RNA", at positions 684 to 1823 of the family's 1831-position model. The record is from RNAcentral.